Molecule: long non-coding RNA, 227 nt
Filed under: Nicotiana benthamiana
Lineage: Eukaryota; Viridiplantae; Streptophyta; Magnoliopsida; Solanales; Solanaceae
Description: long non-coding RNA (NBEN_LNC017450)
Source: RNAcentral
GUCAGACCUGAUGGGAGGAAUAAGACCCUCAAUUAACCGGCGAACCCCCUCACGAGUAGUAGCCACGAAAGCCGGCGCAUGUCUGGCCAACCUAGUAUAACGGAUGGCAUACUCAGAGACAGUCAUAGGGACCUGGAGAAAAUGCUCAAACUCCGCGUGCCAUGCAUCUCAUAGGCUCUGGGGAACAAACUCCCUCUGAAACAUAUCUGAAAACUAAGUCCAAGUCA